UUUAAAGUGUAAUGUAAGUCGCUUUGGAUAAAAGCGUCUGCUAAACGACCUGUA
Molecule: regulatory RNA element, 54 nt
Organism: Gasterosteus aculeatus (three-spined stickleback)
Lineage: Eukaryota; Metazoa; Chordata; Actinopteri; Perciformes; Gasterosteidae
Rfam family: UnaL2 LINE 3' element
About the family: The eel long interspersed element (LINE) UnaL2 and its partner short interspersed element (SINE) share a conserved 3' tail containing a stem-loop that is critical for their retrotransposition.
Source: Rfam